UACAGAGGAUGCAAGCGUUAUCCGGAAUUAUUGGGCGUAAAGCGUCCGCAGGUGGUUUUGUAAGUCUGCUGUUAAAGCGUUAGGCUCAACCUAAUAAGGGCAGUGGAAACUAUGAGACUAGAGUAUGUUAGGGGUAGAGGGAAUUCCCAGUGUAGCGGUGAAAUGCGCAGAUAUCAGGAAGAACACCUAUGGCGAAGGCAGCUCUCUGGGACGGUACUGACGCUGAGACGCGAAAGCGUGGGGAGCGAACAGG
RNAcentral lists this ribosomal RNA (253 nucleotides) under uncultured bacterium. RNAcentral describes it as "partial 16S ribosomal RNA". It matches the Rfam family "Bacterial small subunit ribosomal RNA", at positions 524 to 776 of the family's 1533-position model. The record is from RNAcentral.